This 253-nucleotide ribosomal RNA is filed under the name uncultured bacterium. Its description in RNAcentral is "partial 16S ribosomal RNA". It matches the Rfam family "Bacterial small subunit ribosomal RNA", at positions 524 to 776 of the family's 1533-position model. The record is from RNAcentral.
UACAGAGGUCUCAAGCGUUGUUCGGAAUUACUGGGCGUAAAGGGCGCGUAGGCGGUGCACUAAGUCAGGCGUGAAAGCCCUGGGCUCAACCCGGGAAUUGCGCUUGAUACUGGUGCGCUUGAAUCCAGGAGAGGUUGGUGGAAUUCCCAGUGUAGAGGUGAAAUUCGUAGAGAUUGGGAAGAACACCGGUGGCGAAGGCGGCCAACUGGACUGGUAUUGACGCUGAGGCGCGAAAGCGUGGGGAGCAAACAGG